RNAcentral lists this long non-coding RNA (301 nucleotides) under Phoenix dactylifera (date palm). RNAcentral describes it as "long non-coding RNA (PDAC_LNC008436)". Lineage: Eukaryota; Viridiplantae; Streptophyta; Magnoliopsida; Arecales; Arecaceae. The record is from RNAcentral.
GGAGAGAGAGAGCUCAAGAGAGGAAGAGCCCGCGGCGGGGACUAGCAGCAUCGGCGACGCUUGCGGCUGCACAUGGGUAAGUCCCCUCUUCUCUCUCUUCUUCUUUCUUUCUUUCUUUCUUUCUUUCUUUCUUUUUUCUUCAAAUGGUUUAACAAAGAGAUGAAGCUAGGAACCUUACCUCAGCCCCGGCGAAGAUCCGGCGGCUUUCUUCUUUUCCGACGGUAAGGGAAGUAGCAGAAGACCACCCAAACCAAAGAGGAGCAGGCUUCAACAGCUCUCUCUCCCUCUCUCUCUCUCCCUC